Spinacia oleracea (spinach) is the source of this 609-nucleotide long non-coding RNA. RefSeq lists it as uncharacterized. Lineage: Eukaryota; Viridiplantae; Streptophyta; Magnoliopsida; Caryophyllales; Amaranthaceae. The record is from RefSeq and is a predicted model, not a curated record. The transcript has 5 exons.
GAUUCGAAUCCUAAAACUAAAUUCCUAAGUCUAGCCCAAUUGAAUAAAGCCCAAUAUUAUAAACCCAUAACCCCAUACUUCUACUCCAUGUAAAACACAAAACACAAAACACCAAACCCCUCUAUUCCUACUUCACGUAAAAACCAAAAAGGGCAAAACCCAUCUCUCUCCUUUCCUGCUUCCUCUUCCUCCCUCUGCCCAGCCGCCGACCACCACGAGCACGCCACCAAGGCCGCCAGACCACCUCGCCGCCACGUCGCUGACCACCAGCUCUCACCACCACCUUGCUCGCGCAGCCCCCGCGUCGCCACCCAGCCUGCGCCGCCGCUGCCUUGUCCCUGCUCGCCGCCACCGCAAGUAGCACCACCGUGUGCCGCCGUCUCUCAGCCCUGCCGCAAGCCACCUCUGUCCGCCAGCCAACUCUCUCUCCUCCUUCUUGAAUUGGCGGAGAAUUCUCUUUAGGCGACUUUUGAAAGUGUUAAAGUGGCCUAUCAGUUUGUUUACACAAGUCUCUAAGGAUCAAUAAGCGUUGCCCAUCUACAGGUUUGAAGAUGAUGCAUCAUUGGGAUCGGGAUUAGAGAGCUUGUAGUUCUAUUCGUUUAAUUAAGU